GAUGAACGCUGGCGGCGUGCCUAAUACAUGCAAGUCGAGCGAACAGACGAGGAGCUUGCUCCUCUGACGUUAGCGGCGGACGGGUGAGUAACACGUGGAUAACCUACCUAUAAUACUGGUAUAACUUCGGGAAACCGGAGCUAAUACCGGAUAAUAUAUUGAACCGCAUGGUUCAAUAGUGAAAGACGGUUUUGCUGUCACUUAUAGAUGGUUCCGCGCCGCAUUAGCUAGUUGUUAAGGUAACGGCUUACCAAGGCGACGAUGCGUAGCCGACCUGAGAGGGUGAUCGGCCACACUGGAACUGAGACACGGUCCAGACUCCUACGGGAGGCAGCAGUAGGGAAUCUUCCGCAAUGGGCGAAAGCCUGACGGAGCAACGCCGCGUGAGUGAUGAAGGUCUUCGGAUCGUAAAACUCUGUUAUUAGGGAAGAACAAAUGUGUAAGUAACUAUGCACGUCUUGACGGUACCUAAUCAGAAAGCCACGGCUAACUACGUG
Molecule: ribosomal RNA, 497 nt
Filed under: uncultured bacterium
Lineage: Bacteria
Description: partial 16S ribosomal RNA
Rfam family: Bacterial small subunit ribosomal RNA
Source: RNAcentral